AAAGUGCGACAAGUGUCAUGACUUGCAGAUACCCGAGAGCUGACAAAUUUCUGAAUGCAAAUUGCAGCCAAGUUAACCUGGCUAUGUAUUGCAGAGAGUACUUCGCUUAUGCGCGCCAUCCAGGGGUGGUUCCAUUCCCUCUUGGGCUAUGUGCAGGCUCUUUUGCCUGCUGAGCAUUGUGCCACUCCAACCUCCGUGUUGGAUUAAAGGCCAACUCAAAUCAAAGAUAGAAAACCAAUGAGUUUUCCCGGACAAUACAUGAGGAUAAUUGGCUGGCUCGUCAAGAGACAAUCAAUUACUUUCUCACCAUUCACCUCUGCAAUGCAGGAGAACCCGCUGAACUUAA
Molecule: unclassified non-coding RNA, 346 nt
Filed under: uncultured fungus
Lineage: Eukaryota; Fungi
Description: sequence contains ITS1
Rfam family: 5.8S ribosomal RNA (bases 1-101)
Source: RNAcentral